CCGCCGGCCAGGGAGUCCCCCGCCAGCUGAGGGGUGGAGGGCCUGGCGGUGCUGGCAUUGGCUAGCAGUCCCUGCGGCCCCUCCCUGCUGCCCGGCUCCCAGAUGGGCCUCCUGGCCGGGACUCCGCCCGCUGCAGCCAGGCUGGAGGACGCUCCCCGGGCCCCCGGGGCCGCCCCACGGGUGCGGGCAGGAAUUCAGGGCCUUGGCUGCUCCCAUGCUGCCUGGCUGGCGUGGUGAGGACAGAGAGGCUGCUGGCGGGGAGCCCUGUGCCUUGGGAGGCUGUCGCAACCCUCUGAGACACACGAGCGGGCGGCGGGGGGACCCGCUCGCCGGGCACCGAGCCUGGGAGCCUAGUGUCUUGGGCAAGGAGGGCCAGAGCCGUGGGGCCAGGCGCACAGGCCCCGCGGUCAGAGGGACCUGCGUGCUGUGGGUCUGCUCCCUCCUGCCUCACAUGGUGUACUCAGUCACCCAGCAGGCAUUCACUGAGCACCUACUGUGCACUGCCUGCAGUUCCAGCCCGUUCUCCGGGUCUACCUGCCUUUCCCCUUGCUCCCCCUACCCGCUCCCUGGUCCUCAGGCCUCCAGAAGCCUUCGCUGUCCUCCCCAAAGCCCCACCACGGCCCCAAGGCCACUGUGUCGCCCCGGCCCUGCAGUGCGUGCAUCGCCCUGGUUUGUGCUUGUCCGGGACAAGCCAGCCUGAGUGGGGUGCCAUCCCUCCAGGGCCCAGUCCUGAGCCGGGCCGACAGCCAGCCCUCGAGGCUCCUGAGCGGGGAGGAUGGUGGACUUGGUGGUGUGGCGGGAGAAGGUGAUUCCUCCCCAGGGUGAGGCUGAUGGUCCCAGGGAACUCCAAGGCCAGGGCCCCACCUGGCCGCCUUCCUCCCGGCCACGGUGCAGAGGUGGGAGAGGGCAGGGGUGGGGAGGGGUGGGGGCAGGUUUCUCUGCUGCGAGCGCCUUGCCCCUACACUGGCUCUCAUCUCUGUCUUGGGAUGGAGGUGGUGUUCUGCCCAUUUUACAGAUGAGAAGACUGAGCCCCAGGUGGAUCGAGCUGGGAGGGGCUGAGCUGAGCGGGGUCCUGCUCUUUGCCAAGAAAGUCAGCCUUUGGCGUCUGAGGCCACACAUCCCUAGCACCCGGGGGCGCCCCUUGGGAGCUUCUAGGCCCUCAGCACCAUCAUUACUGUGUAAAAUGCUACCGGAGGAGCCAAGAGACCAGCAGACCUCUUUGACACGAAGCACCCAGACCUGCUUUCCCAGGACCCAUGCCCACCUGAGCUCGUGUGGGGCCCUUGUGGACAUCAGCCUCCCUGGUGGACAUAGCUCCUUUGUGUGCACGUUUAAACAAAUGAAGCCUGAGUGCACCUCCCUCUUCUAAGGUCUGAGGAGGUCUGCCGGGGACACACACCCAUCAGGGAGGAUGGGGGAGGCAAAGCUGGCCCUGGAGGGCGGGGUCCGGGGGGAGUAAGCAGUGUGAGGUGUGGUUGGGCUGGACUACAGUGCUGAGCUGCCGGGCAGCCAGGGCAAAAGGGAACUAGGACG
Molecule: long non-coding RNA, 1533 nt
Filed under: Bos mutus (wild yak)
Lineage: Eukaryota; Metazoa; Chordata; Mammalia; Artiodactyla; Bovidae
Description: lncRNA (ENSBMUG00000000853.1)
Source: RNAcentral